Molecule: ribosomal RNA, 944 nt
Filed under: uncultured bacterium
Lineage: Bacteria
Description: bacterial SSU rRNA
Rfam family: Bacterial small subunit ribosomal RNA
Source: RNAcentral
AGAGUUUGAUCAUGGCUCAGAACGAACGCUGGCGGCGUGCUUAAGACAUGCAAGUCGAACGGUAAGGCGAAUCAACCUUCGGGUUGCUUCGCACACGAGUGGCGCACGGGUGAGUAACGCGUGGGUAAUCUGCCUUCGGGUCGGGGACAACUUCGGGAAACUGGAGCUAAUACCGGAUAAGACCACGAGGCCUCCGGGCUUUGCGGAAAAAGAUGGCCUCUCCUUGGAAGCUAUCGCCUGUUGAUGAGCCCGCGUCCCAUUAGCUUGUUGGUGAGGUAACGGCUCACCAAGGCUUCGAUGGGUAGCUGGUCUGAGAGGAUGAUCAGCCACACUGGAACUGAGACACGGUCCAGACUCCUACGGGAGGCAGCAGUCGGGAAUUUUGGGCAAUGGGCGAAAGCCUGACCCAGCAACGCCGCGUGAGGGAUGAAGGCCUUCGGGUCGUAAACCUCUGUCGGGAGGGACGAACGGUAGCCAUUCGAAUAGGGUGGCAGCCUGACGGUACCUCCAAAGGAAGGACCGGCUAACUCCGUGCCAGCAGCCGCGGUAAUACGGAGGGUCCAAGCGUUGUUCGGAAUCAUUGGGCGUAAAGCGCGUGUAGGCGGCUUGGUAAGUCGGAUGUGAAAUCCCGGGGCCCAACCCCGGAACUGCAUUCGAAACUGCCUGGCUAGAGUCCCGGAGAGGAAGGCGGAAUUCCCGGUGUAGAGGUGAAAUUCGUAGAUAUCGGGAGGAACACCAGUGGCGAAGGCGGCCUUCUGGACGGUGACUGACGCUCAGACGCGAAAGCGUGGGGAGCAAACAGGAUUAGAUACCCUGGUAGUCCACGCCGUAAACGUUGGGUGCUAGGUGUCGCGGGUAUUGACCCCUGCGGUGCCGUCGUUAACGCAUUUAGCACCCCGCCUGGGGAGUACGGUCGCAAGGCUAAAACUCAAAGGAAUUGACGG